AUUGAACGCUGGCGGAAUGCUUUACACAUGCAAGUCGAACGGUAGAGGGGGCAACCCCUUGAGAGUGGCGAACGGGUGAGUAAUAUAUCGGAACGUGCCCAGUCGUGGGGAUAACGUAGCGAAAGUUACGCUAAUACCGCAUACGAUCUACGGAUGAAAGCGGGGGACUCGCAAGAGCCUCGCGCGAUUGGAGCGGCCGAUAUCAGAUUAGGUAGUUGGUGGGGUAAAGGCUCACCAAGCCAACGAUCUGUAGCUGGUCUGAGAGGACGACCAGCCACACUGGAACUGAGACACGGUCCAGACUCCUACGGGAGGCAGCAGUGGGGAAUUUUGGACAAUGGACGCAAGUCUGAUCCAGCCAUUCCGCGUGCAGGAUGAAGGCCCUCGGGUUGUAAGCUGCUUUUGUACGGAACGAAAAGGUUUCUAUUAAUACUAGGAGCUCAUGACGGUACCGUAAGAAUAAGCACCGGCUAACUACGUGCCAGCAGCCGCGGUAAAGUG
RNAcentral lists this ribosomal RNA (501 nucleotides) under uncultured bacterium. RNAcentral describes it as "bacterial SSU rRNA". It matches the Rfam family "Bacterial small subunit ribosomal RNA", at positions 30 to 527 of the family's 1533-position model. The record is from RNAcentral.